Molecule: ribosomal RNA, 354 nt
Filed under: uncultured bacterium
Lineage: Bacteria
Description: bacterial SSU rRNA
Rfam family: Bacterial small subunit ribosomal RNA
Source: RNAcentral
GAUGAACGCUGGCGGCGUGCUUAACACAUGCAAGUCGAACGAAGCACUUUAAUUGAUUUCUUCGGAAUGAAGUUUUUGUGACUGAGUGGCGGACGGGUGAGUAACGCGUGGGUAACCUGCCUCAUACAGGGGGAUAACAGUUGGAAACGACUGCUAAUACCGCAUAAGCGCACAGGAUUGCAUGAUCCAGUGUGAAAAACUCCGGUGGUAUGAGAUGGACCCGCGUCUGAUUAGCUAGUUGGUGAGGUAACGGCCCACCAAGGCGACGAUCAGUAGCCGGCCUGAGAGGGUGAACGGCCACAUUGGGACUGAGACACGGCCCAAAACUCCCUACGGGAGCAGCAGUGGGGAAUA